Molecule: ribosomal RNA, 253 nt
Filed under: uncultured bacterium
Lineage: Bacteria
Description: partial 16S ribosomal RNA
Rfam family: Bacterial small subunit ribosomal RNA
Source: RNAcentral
UACAGGGGGUGCAAACGUUGCUCGGAAUUACUGGGCGUAAAGGGCGCGUAGGCGGAUGUUUAAGUCGGGGGUGAAAGCCCGGGGCUCAACCUCGGAAUUGCCUUCGAUACUGGACAUCUUGAGUACGGGAGAGGUGAGUGGAACUCCGAGUGUAGAGGUGAAAUUCGUAGAUAUUCGGAAGAACACCAGUGGCGAAGGCGACUCACUGGCCCGUUACUGACGCUGAGGCGCGAAAGCGUGGGGAGCGAACAGG